This 87-nucleotide transfer RNA is filed under the name Cordylochernes scorpioides. Its description in RNAcentral is "tRNA-Tyr". It matches the Rfam family "tRNA". Rfam says of the family: Transfer RNA (tRNA) molecules are approximately 80 nucleotides in length. Their secondary structure includes four short double-helical elements and three loops (D, anti-codon, and T loops). Further hydrogen bonds mediate the characteristic L-shaped molecular structure. tRNAs have two regions of fundamental functional importance: the anti-codon, which is responsible for specific mRNA codon recognition, and the 3' end, to which the tRNAs corresponding amino acid is attached (by aminoacyl-tRNA synthetases). tRNAs cope with the degeneracy of the genetic code in two manners: having more than one tRNA (with a specific anti-codon) for a particular amino acid; and 'wobble' base-pairing, i.e. permitting non-standard base-pairing at the 3rd anti-codon position. Lineage: Eukaryota; Metazoa; Arthropoda; Arachnida; Pseudoscorpiones; Chernetidae. The record is from RNAcentral.
CCCUCGAUAGCUCAGUUGGUAGAGCGGAGGACUGUAGAUGUUACAACGGUGAUCCUUAGGUCGCUGGUUCAAAUCCGGCUCGAGGGA